Molecule: ribosomal RNA, 253 nt
Filed under: uncultured bacterium
Lineage: Bacteria
Description: partial 16S ribosomal RNA
Rfam family: Bacterial small subunit ribosomal RNA
Source: RNAcentral
UACGUAGGCAGCAAGCGUUGUUCGGAUUUAUUGGGCGUAAAGGGUGCGUAGGCGGUUUGGCAAGUCUGAUGUGAAAUCUAUGGGCUCAACCCAUAGUCUGCAUCAGAAACUGCCGGGCUUGAGUAUGGGAGAGGUGAGUGGAAUUUCCGGUGUAGCGGUGAAAUGCGUAGAUAUCGGAAGGAACACCUGUGGCGAAAGCGGCUCACUGGACCAUAACUGACGCUGAUGCACGAAAGCUAGGGGAGCAAACAGG